Molecule: ribosomal RNA, 393 nt
Filed under: uncultured bacterium
Lineage: Bacteria
Description: partial 16S ribosomal RNA
Rfam family: Bacterial small subunit ribosomal RNA
Source: RNAcentral
AUACGUAGGGGGCGAGCGUUGUCCGGAAUGAUUGGGCGUAAAGAGUGCGUAGGUGGUUACCUAAGCGCAGGGUUUAAGGCUACGGCUUAACUGUAGUUCGCCCUGCGAACUGGGCAACUUGAGUGCAGGAGAGGAAAGCGGAAUUCCUAGUGUAGCGGUGAAAUGCUUAGAUAUUAGGAGGAACACCAGUGGCGAAGGCGGCUUUCUGGACUGAAACUGACACUGAGGCACGAAAGCGUGGGGAGCAAACAGGAUUAGAUACCCUGGUAGUCCACGCCGUAAACGAUGAGCACUAGGUGUCGGGGGGAUCACCCUCGGUGCCGGAGUUAACGCAUUAAGUGCUCCGCCUGGGGAGUACGCACGCAAGUGUAAAACUCAAAGGAAUUGACGGGG